GCCGGGCGUGGUGGCGGGCCCCUGUAGUCUCAGCUACUUGGGAGGCUGAGGCAGGAGAAUGGCGUGAACUUGGGAGGUGGAGCUUGCAGUGAGCCGAGAUCGUGCCACUGCACUCCAGCCUGGGUGACAGAGCAAGACUCCGUCUCAAAAAAAAAAAAAAAAAGGACAGGGUCUCAGUCUGUCGCCCAGGCUGGAGUACAGUGGCGUGAUCUCGGCUCAUUGCAGCUUCUGCCUCCCAGGCUCAAAUGACCUUCCCACCUCAG
This 263-nucleotide small RNA is filed under the name Papio anubis (olive baboon). RNAcentral's name for it is "Metazoan signal recognition particle RNA (ENSPANG00000044844.1)". Lineage: Eukaryota; Metazoa; Chordata; Mammalia; Primates; Cercopithecidae. The record is from RNAcentral.